AGUCGAUCAGGUCGAUGUACGGACGCACCUUCUCCUCAUACUGCUCACUCAGGCUCGCGCUCAUCUCUGACAGCUGAGAAACUCUGCAAACUAUAGUGACAAGAUGUCCGCUUGAGCUCAAGAUGAAGAAGAGCAGGAGGGAACACUUCUGGAAGGGAAAGAUCAAGUAUGAUGAUUAUGAGGAAGAGAUUGGCGAUCCAGAAGAUGUGGAGCAAAUGAUUAGAAAAGCUCAGAAUGAAAUAGCUGGGACCGGCAUGGGCAUCAGUGACAAGCUCAUCAGCCUGGAGGUGACAUCGACUAAUGCUCCUGACCUCAUGCUCAUCGAUCUGCCUCGUAUUACCCGUGUAGCAGCCAGAGACCAACCGGAGGACAUUGGAGAACAAAGUAAGAGGCUGAUCCAAAAGUUCACUGCAAAAAGCAAGACACCAUCAACCUGGUGGUAGUGCCAUGUAACGUGGACAUCGCCACUAUUUAAGCGCUGAAGAUGGCUCAGGAAAUUGAUCCAAAUGGGUCGCGGGGAACUUGGAGCAUAUUCCAGGGAGCAUCGGGCACAAGGCAGGGUACACCCUGGACAGGGUGCCAAUCCAUCGCAGGGCACAAUCACAUACGCAAACGCCCACACCCAUUCAUACACUACGGACACUUUAGACAUGCCAAUCAGCCUACCAUGCAUGUCUUUGGACUGGGGGAGGAAACCAGAAUACCCUGAGGAACCCCCCGCAGCACAGGGAAAACAUGCAAACUCUGCACACACAGGGCCACGGAAAUCGAACCCCAGACCCUGGAGGUGUGAGGCAAACGUGCUAACCAACAAGCCACCAUGCGCCCCCAACUUAUACCAAUAUUAUGAAACAUUGCUAAAAUAUACCUAGUUUUAGUGAAGUAUUAGUGAAUGAUAAUGCUUUUUUUAUUUGGAAAAUAUUUGAAAAAUAUGAAUGGUUUCUGAAUGGUUAUAAGUUCUCCAAAUCAAGCUGGACAUUAUGUACCAUCUUUAAAAAAAAAAAAUUUUAAACAACAACAAACAACAAUCAAUAGCUUCUAAAUGAAGAAUAUAGCUCCAAAAACUAUUAUUGGAAUAUUCGAUUCAUGUGUCAAACAUGAGUACAGCUAAAUGGUCUCAUUUAUCCAUACACAUCACUGCGGAAAAACUGUGCAGUACAAUUUUAGUUUCUAUUAACCCUUGUGUUUUGUUGACAUUACCUUAACUGUCUUGUUAUUUGGGGUCCCAGAGACCCCAGUGUUGAAUUAUUAUUAUUAUCUUUUAAAUGAGCUCAAAAUAAAAAGAUUUUUUCUUCCAAAUAUUUGUAUAUAUUACCAGAGAUUACCAGAGAAACACUGUUCAGUGAAAAUAAUUGUAUUAUUCACCCUCUUUUCUAACAAGAAACUGGGCUUGCAAUUUUCAAAAGGUGAACAUUGAUUCAUUGACGUAUCAGGAAAUCCUUGGAGAAAAUGUCAUACCAUCUGUGUGGAAGUUGAUGCUUGGGCAUCAUUGAACCUUCCAACACUAAGCAUACCUCAAAUUCCACCAAGGGUUGGUUGCAGAAGAAGUCCUGGAAGAUUCUACAUGGCCAUCACAGUCACCUGACUUGAACCCCAUAGAAAGUCUCUAGUGGGAUUUGAAGAAGGCGGUUGAAGCACGCAAACCCAAGAAUAUUACUGAACUGGAAGCCAUUGCUCAUGAGGAAUGGGUUAAGAUUCCUCAGGAACGCUGCCAGAAGCUCUGCAUCUCAUUUGCACCAGGUCAUAACAGCAAAAGGGUGCGCUACUAAGUACUAAAGAUGCUUGCCAUGAAGGGGUUGAAUAAUUUUGAAACUAGACAAAUCAUUAUAAGUAGCAUUUUCAGUUGAAUUUGGGGGAACCACUUGAAGCAUUCGUUGUGUUGAACUAUUUCAGUUAUUUUUGUUUGAUUUGUUCAUUGCAAACAGCUGAAAUUUUGACAAUAAACCUGAUUUGCUAUGGGGGUUGAAUCAUUUUGAUUGCAAAGGAAUUUUCUGUCUUUUCCAUGAAGUGUGGGUGUUUAAAAUCUGAAUAAAGAUGUUUAUUUGUUUAUUAGAAAAUCACAGCGUUUAUUCGGGACA
RNA transcript from Ictalurus punctatus (channel catfish), 2078 nucleotides. It is a transcript of the gene named interferon-induced GTP-binding protein Mx2-like, with no coding region annotated. The transcript has 5 exons. The record is from RefSeq and is a predicted model, not a curated record. Lineage: Eukaryota; Metazoa; Chordata; Actinopteri; Siluriformes; Ictaluridae.